RNAcentral lists this ribosomal RNA (301 nucleotides) under uncultured bacterium. RNAcentral's name for it is "partial 16S ribosomal RNA". It matches the Rfam family "Bacterial small subunit ribosomal RNA", at positions 509 to 807 of the family's 1533-position model. The record is from RNAcentral.
CAGUCGCCACGGUAAUACGUAGGGCGCAAGCGUUGUCCGGAAUUAUUGGGCGUAAAGAGCUCGUAGGCGGUCUGUCGCGUCUGGUGUGAAAUCCCGAGGCUCAACCUCGGGCUUGCAUCGGGUACGGGCAGACUAGAGUGCGGUAGGGGAGACUGGAAUUCCUGGUGUAGCGGUGGAAUGCGCAGAUAUCAGGAGGAACACCGAUGGCGAAGGCAGGUCUCUGGGCCGCAACUGACGCUGAGGAGCGAAAGCAUGGGGAGCGAACAGGAUUAGAUACCCGCGUAGUCCCUGUCUCUUAUAC